GACGAACGCUGCGGCGUGCUUCACCCAUGCAAGUCGCACGGAAAGGCCCUGCUUUUGUGGGGUGCUCGAGUGGCGAACGGGUGAGUAACACGUGAGUAACCUGCCCUUGACUUUGGGAUAACUUCAGGAAACUGGGGCUAAUACCGGAUAGGAGCUCCUGCUGCAUGGUGGGGGUUGGAAAGUUUCGGCGGUUGGGGAUGGACUCGCGGCUUAUCAGCUUGUUGGUGGGGUAGUGGCUUACCAAGGCUUUGACGGGUAGCCGGCCUGAGAGGGUGACCGGCCACAUUGGGACUGAGAUACGGCCCAGACUCCUACGGGAGGCAGCAGUGGGGAAUAUUGCACAAUGGGCGGAAGCCUGAUGCAGCAACGCCGCGUGCGGGAUGACGGCCUUCGGGUUGUAAACCGCUUUCGCCUGUGACGAAGCGUGAGUGACGGUAAUGGGUAAAGAAGCACCGGCUAACUACGUG
Molecule: ribosomal RNA, 467 nt
Filed under: uncultured bacterium
Lineage: Bacteria
Description: partial 16S ribosomal RNA
Rfam family: Bacterial small subunit ribosomal RNA
Source: RNAcentral